UGCGGCAGCUACACAUGCAGUCGAGCGGUAGCACGGGAAACUUGCUUCUCUCGGAGGAGAGGGGGAGAGGGGAGUAAUGUGUGGGGAACUGCCCCAUAUAGGGGGAGAUCUCCUGGAAAAGGAGGGUAUAACCCCGCAAUCUCUUUAGAGCGGAAAGGGGGAAAUUCCGUCCUUGCUCUAUCGGAUAAACCCCUAUGGGAUUAUCUAUUAUGUGGGGUAUUGGCUCACCUAGGCGACAAUCCCUAUCUGGUCUGAGAGGAUGAUACCCCACACUGGGACUGAAACACGGCCCAAACUCCUACCGGAGGCAGCAGUGGGGAAUAUUGCACAAUGGGCGCAAGCCUGAUGCAGCCAUGCCGCGUGUAUGAAGAAGGCCGUAGGGUUGUAAAGUACUUUCAUUCUGGAGGAAGGCGUUGAUGCUAAUAUCAUCUCUGAUUGACGUUACCGACAGAAAAAGCACCGGCUAACUCCGUGCCACCAGCCGCGGUAAUACGGAGGGUGUGCGCGUGUUUCUCAAUUUUUGGGGGUAUAGCGCGCGCACGCGGUUGAUUAAAUUAAAUAUGAAAUCUCCGGGGUUUCCCUGGGAAUGGCGUCUUUUACUGGUCAGCUAUAGUCUUGUAUAAGGGGGUAGAAUUCUCCGUGUAUCGCUGAAAUGCGCUAUAGAUGUGUGAGAGAGAACACGGUGGCGAAAGCGCGCCCCCUGUGACAAUAUACUGACACUCUCAGUGCGAAAGCGUGUGGGAGAACACACAGAUAUAAAUAUACCUGUGUAAUCCCCGCUGUAAACAAUGUCUCAUAUGAGAUGUUGUGCCCUUGAGGCGUGUCUUCCCGCAGCUAACGCGUGAAAUCGACCGCCUGGGGAGUACGUCGCAAGAUUAAAACUCAAAUGAAUUGACGGGGGACCCGCACAAGCGGUGGAUCAUGUGGUUUUAUUUCGAUGCAACGCGCAAAAACCUUACCUACUCUUGACAUCUCUAGAAUUUGCACAGAUGCUCUAGUGCCUUCUGGACUCUGAGACACGUGCUGCUACGGGUGUCGUCUCAUCUCGUGCGAAUAUUUGGGUAAUUCCCGCACAAGAGCGACACCCUUAU
Molecule: ribosomal RNA, 1091 nt
Filed under: Providencia sp.
Lineage: Bacteria; Pseudomonadati; Pseudomonadota; Gammaproteobacteria; Enterobacterales; Morganellaceae
Description: bacterial SSU rRNA
Rfam family: Bacterial small subunit ribosomal RNA
Source: RNAcentral